CCUACGGGUGGCUGCAGUGGGGAAUAUUGGACAAUGGGGGCAACCCUGAUCCAGCCAUGCCGCGUGUGUGAAGAAGGCCCUCGGGUUGUAAAGCACUUUCAGUGAGGAAGAACGCCUGGUGGUUAAUACCCAUCAGGAAAGACAUCACUCACAGAAGAUGCACCGGCUAACUCCGUGCCAGCAGCCGCGGUAAUACGGAGGGUGCGAGCGUUAAUCGGAAUUACUGGGCGUAAAGCGCGCGUAGGUGGCUUGAUAAGCCGGUUGUGAAAGCCCCGGGCUCAACCUGGGAACGGCAUCCGGAACUGUCAAGCUAGAGUGCAGGAGAGGAAGGUAGAAUUCCCGGUGUAGCGGUGAAAUGCGUAGAGAUCGGGAGGAAUACCAGUGGCGAAGGCGGCCUUCUGGACUGACACUGACACUGAGGUGCGAAAGCGUGGGUAGCAAACAGGAUUAGAUACCCCUGUAGUC
Molecule: ribosomal RNA, 465 nt
Filed under: Vreelandella stevensii
Lineage: Bacteria; Pseudomonadati; Pseudomonadota; Gammaproteobacteria; Oceanospirillales; Halomonadaceae
Description: partial 16S ribosomal RNA
Rfam family: Bacterial small subunit ribosomal RNA
Source: RNAcentral